Molecule: long non-coding RNA, 205 nt
Organism: Lagopus leucura (white-tailed ptarmigan)
Lineage: Eukaryota; Metazoa; Chordata; Aves; Galliformes; Phasianidae
Exons: 3
Source: RefSeq, a predicted model, not a curated record
UUCACUGCAAAGAAGCAUGCCAAGACAUUUCUCUAAGAGCCAACAUUACUUAAUGCUUCCAGUCUUCGGUGUACUGGCCAUAUACUGCAGGAUAAGACAGUGUGAGAGAGGGACUGGAGAUUGUCAUUCCAAGAGUGGACAUUGCAAGGUGAAAUUACAGCUUCAUUAAAUGAAUGGAAGUUAACCAGAAAUGGAGAGUCUAGCU